Molecule: long non-coding RNA, 307 nt
Filed under: Lathyrus oleraceus (garden pea)
Lineage: Eukaryota; Viridiplantae; Streptophyta; Magnoliopsida; Fabales; Fabaceae
Description: Pisum sativum (pea) long non-coding RNA (PSAT_LNC006976)
Source: RNAcentral
AUGAAAAGGGAAAAAUAUAAAAAGAAACAAGAAAAAGAAAUCACCCUUGAAACCAUAGAGCAUAGAAAAAUUAGAAAAGAAAAGCAAAGAAAAUGCUCAUGGUUGUGUGGAUUUGAAAAGAAAAAGAGAAAGUUAGGGAUCAAAGAAAAGGAAAGUGUGUAGAGUGAAUCUUUAGGAAUGCUCCCUUAGGAUAAGCAAUUUGGUUGAAUUCUCUUAAUCAUAUCCUUUCUGGUAACCUAAGCCACAUUACAACCCUUGAAAGACCUCUUGAUUCUCAUUUUUCACAUAAUUUGGUACUUGCUGUGAU